GUGCUUACUUUGGUAGCACUUAUGCUAAAAUUGGAACAAUACCAAGAUUAGCAUGACCUCUACACAAGGGUGACAUACAAAUUUAUGAAGCCUUCCAUAUUUAA
Trichosurus vulpecula (common brushtail) is the source of this 104-nucleotide small nuclear RNA. NCBI's taxonomy places the organism in Eukaryota, Metazoa, Chordata, Mammalia, Diprotodontia, Phalangeridae. The record is from RefSeq and is a predicted model, not a curated record.